UACGGAGGAUGCAAGCGUUAUCCGGAUUCAUUUGGGUUUAAAGGGUGCGUAGGCGGGCUAUUAAGUCAGUGGUGAAAUCCUGCAGCUUAACUGCAGAACUGCCGUUGAUACUGAUAGUCUUGAGUUUGGUUAAGGUAGGCGGAAUGUGUAAUGUAGCGGUGAAAUGCUUAGAUAUUACACAGAACACCAAUUGCGUAGGCAGCUUACUGAGCCGACACUGACGCUGAGGCACGAAAGCGUGGGGAUCAAACA
This 252-nucleotide ribosomal RNA is filed under the name uncultured prokaryote. RNAcentral's name for it is "partial 16S ribosomal RNA". It matches the Rfam family "Bacterial small subunit ribosomal RNA", at positions 524 to 774 of the family's 1533-position model. The record is from RNAcentral.